AAGGAAGCAUGUCUAUUUGAAACGCAAGAUAUCAAGCUUUGUUAACCGGGUAAUAUAUACAUAUGAAAUGAUUCUUAGAGAUGAACGGUUAAAAGAACUAAAGGACAAUGAAGAUAAUGGCAUUUAGCUAGCUAGCUAGAUCUCCUCCUCUCUCCUAGACUUAGUAUCUGUACCACCUGAAAAAAAAUACUGAAGAAAUACGGCAUUCAGUCAAAAAGUAAUGAAACGAGAAGCGAACUUUACUUUGGGUGCAGCACCAUCAAUUAAUUGGUAGUAUAUGUUUAACACCAUAAUAUACUACCUCUGAAUUUACUUUAUCUGAUUUAUCCCUUUUCAAAUAAAUGUAUGUGCCAUCUGUUCUAGUGUGGUGAUGAACAUAAAAACAAACCAAAGAGAUUCCACAUCUAGCUAAUUAAACAGUUGCAGGUUUCUGCAAAGAUUUGCUUUCCGAAAAGUUUAAUUCUUCAGAUAAGGAUAAAAACAGAAGUACUGCAGAUAAGUACGGCGGCUUAAUUUCAUUGUAGAGAUAAGUACAAGACGUCACCAAUAGAACAGUAACUGGACAGUGACCUUAGUCCCUACCCUUUCUGGAGGUAUCAGGAUUCAGGAGACAAGGGUUCCAUCACGCAAUUACUUCGAGCAGCAGCGACACGUGUAGAACUGAACAAGUGAAGGACACAAGAAAUCUGUAGCAGCGAUGGCUACUGACCUGAUCUGAUGAGUGAGAUGGAAGGAGUAAUUAGCAGAUCUGAGCGGAAUUUGUUUCCUUCCUACCUCGCUCACGUCCCGGCCCCUCCUGCAAGCUGUGCUGCCACUAACAAGGAGAUGAACGAUAUGGUGCAGAUCUGAGGGGAAAAUCAACAGAUCCAUGCAAAUUUUAUGCAGCUCGCUCGAUCGAUCGAUCAAUUCGCGAGAUCCAUUUCUUGAACCAAUCAGAAUCAGUCAAUGUCGCAGUAAAUGGUACUAUUUUGUAAUCCCAAGAAAGGAAACGGCAGUUGGGAGUUGGGAUCCCUCGGAAAAGAUGAACAAAUUAGCACGAGAAAUCAACAGAUCAAAAUCAAAGGGGCACUACCUGCCAAGCAAAGAGAGGGAAUCCGUGCAACAAGUCACAGUUGCUAGCUGCAGACGCCGUACGCAGCAACCGCCCAAAAAUUUUGGAUCACCUGAGUUAGCUGUAGUACCUGCGAGGGGCGCCAUACGAUGAUAGUAAGAGCUACAUAGGGAGGCGCAUGCCUGUGACGGGCAUGGC
RNAcentral lists this long non-coding RNA (1249 nucleotides) under Oryza brachyantha (malo sina). Its description in RNAcentral is "long non-coding RNA (OBRA_LNC000559)". Lineage: Eukaryota; Viridiplantae; Streptophyta; Magnoliopsida; Poales; Poaceae. The record is from RNAcentral.